GUCGAGUCAGUAUCGUAUGGGCAAUUUGGCAACAAUGUAAGGAAACAAAAAAUUUGCCGUAAAGAGACUGAUACCGAAAGUUGGUCGUAGUUUUCAAGAUGGCGUCUGUAAAUCUCCACGCGAGAAAUCGUAACGAAGACAAAAUAAUGUUAUUUUAUUGUUUUGACGAUGCAAAAGCUUACAUAAAAAGAAAUGAAAUUGAUACGAAUAACCUACAUAAUUGGUUACAGCACAAAAAACUUUGGUAAUUCAGGUUUGUUGGGUCCAUGGGGUGAACCCUUAUAUGUAUGUGAGCCUUGGACAUCAGGUUCUGAAAUGCCACCAUGGUACAGACAAGAAUAAGAAGAGAAAACUGGAAAAGGAGAAGGUAUUGGACAGAAAAAUGACAAAGACAGUUAGCAGUGAGCAACAUUCAUAUGCUAAAUAGAAAACAAGGCAUGCAGUGCAGCUCUCCAAAAAAUUGGACUGUCCUGCUUCUAUCAGUCUGAAGGAAGUGUUGAUAUUCACCCCUGAAGAGGUUGGAUGUGUUGUUUUUCUUUUAUUUAAUUUACCCACAAGCAGGACAAUUACUGUACAUUACAUUGUUUUAUUGCAAUCAUAACACUUAAGAAACCUUACUAUUGCACCAAUGCUCAAA
This is a long non-coding RNA of Dreissena polymorpha, 637 nucleotides long. RefSeq lists it as uncharacterized. The transcript is spliced from 3 exons. Lineage: Eukaryota; Metazoa; Mollusca; Bivalvia; Myida; Dreissenidae. The record is from RefSeq and is a predicted model, not a curated record.